CCUACGGGAGGCUGCAGUGAGGAAUAUUGGUCAAUGGGCGCGAGCCUGAACCAGCCAAGUAGCGUGAAGGAUGACUGCCCUACGGGUUGUAAACUUCUUUUAUAAAGGAAUAAAGUGAGGCACGUGUGACUUUUUGUAUGUACUUUAUGAAUAAGGAUCGGCUAACUCCGUGCCAGCAGCCGCGGUAAUACGGAGGAUCCGAGCGUUAUCCGGAUUUAUGGGGUUUAAAGGGAGCGUAGAUGGGUUGUUAAGUCAGUUGUGAAAGUUUGCGGCUCAACCGUAGAAGUGCAAUUGAUACUGGCAGGCUAGAGUACAGUAGAGGUAGGCAGAAUUCGUGGUGUAGCGGUGAAAUGCUUAGAGAUCACGAAGAACUCCGAUUGCGAAGGCAGCUUACUAAACUGCCACUGACAUUGAUGUGCGAAAGUGUGGGUAUCAAACAGGAUUAGAUACCCCAGUAGUC
This 460-nucleotide ribosomal RNA is filed under the name uncultured bacterium. RNAcentral's name for it is "partial 16S ribosomal RNA". It matches the Rfam family "Bacterial small subunit ribosomal RNA", at positions 338 to 795 of the family's 1533-position model. The record is from RNAcentral.